RNAcentral lists this long non-coding RNA (260 nucleotides) under Homo sapiens (human). RNAcentral's name for it is "non-protein coding LINC01192:9". The record is from RNAcentral. Lineage: Eukaryota; Metazoa; Chordata; Mammalia; Primates; Hominidae.
AGUGUAGUGGCGUGAUCUUGGCUCACAACAACUUCUGCUUCCCACAUUCAAGCGAUCCUCCCACCUUAUACUCCUGAGUAGCUGGAACCACAGGAAUUCUAAUUGGAACAGACAAAAACCCAAUACAUGUUUAAGCAGUAAAGUAUUCAUCAGGUCACAAAAAGAGGAGCAAGAGGAGCUGACUCUUUAUGUCAUAUCUUGGCCUUGUAAUUUGAUUCUUUGCCAACAUGCAUGGUUUUUCUCCAUAGGCUGUGCAUUGG